Molecule: ribosomal RNA, 492 nt
Filed under: uncultured bacterium
Lineage: Bacteria
Description: partial 16S ribosomal RNA
Rfam family: Bacterial small subunit ribosomal RNA
Source: RNAcentral
AGUGAACGCUGGCGGUAGGCCUAACACAUGCAAGUCGAACGGCAGCACAGUAAGAGCUUGCUCUUACGGGUGGCGAGUGGCGGACGGGUGAGGAAUACAUCGGAAUCUACUUUUUCGUGGGGGAUAACGUAGGGAAACUUACGCUAAUACCGCAUACGACCUACGGGUGAAAGCAGGGGAUCUUCGGACCUUGCGUGAUUGAAUGAGCCGAUGUCGGAUUAGCUAGUUGGCGGGGUAAAGGCCCACCAAGGCGACGAUCCGUAGCUGGUCUGAGAGGAUGAUCAGGCACACUGGAACUGAGACACGGUCCAGACUCCUACGGGAGGCAGCAGUGGGGAAUAUUGGACAAUGGGCGCAAGCCUGAUCCAGCCAUACCGCGUGGAUGAAGAAGGCCUUCGGGUUGUAAAGCCCUUUUGUUGGGAAAGAAAAGCAGCAGGUUAAUACCCCGCUGUUCUGACGGUACCCAAAGAAUAAGCACCGGCUAACUUCGUG